This is a long non-coding RNA of Papaver somniferum (opium poppy), 2302 nucleotides long. RefSeq lists it as uncharacterized. The transcript is spliced from 2 exons. Lineage: Eukaryota; Viridiplantae; Streptophyta; Magnoliopsida; Ranunculales; Papaveraceae. The record is from RefSeq and is a predicted model, not a curated record.
UUUUGAUACUGUUGUUAUUAUCAUGUUAACCCAGCUCUAAGUUUAGGGUUUAAAAUUACCAGUUCACUUUGUUCUUAGUUUUUGGUUUAGUAACAAAAUGAAAGAAAGAAUUGAAAUCGAAGAGUUUGUGCCAUGCAUUCCUCAUUGAGAUUAUUAUUCUUAGUUAAAUUAUCUCAAAGGAACUCUCCAUUUUAUGUAUAAGAACAUCUUUAUUACUUACUGCUGUCGUUUUUGGCAUCCCAUCUAAUGACUCAAAUUUUAUAAUGGUUUUCUUAAAACAUGUAAAGGCCCAAAUGUAAUUCAGUUUCAUCCAUGUAUUUUGGGCACUUAUCGUGUUCCAAAGGUAUCAUUAGGAGGCAUAUAUUGCAGGUAUGCUGCAUUCUUCGCGAACUUCUAUUAGGUAAGGUAGUUCUCAUAGUUGUAUCACUAUGUUACACAUGGUACUUCAAGUUUUGAUUGUAUGCCGACAAUCAUUUCAGUUAGCUUGAUAACUGUGGUUUUUGUUGUUGGAGUUUGAUCAGUUUGGAUGUCUAGGCAUGCCUUUUAUAGUGAUCUUCUUGCUGAAGUUCCGGGGUUGAAUCUAUCUUUUCACUAGACAAAGGCGAUGGAUGACUCUACUUCGCUUGCUUGAGUUUAGCAUUGUGAUGUUACAAUUUUCAGUAAGUAUGCGAUUGGCUGUGUGUCUAUAUGAACUCUGAGAUUCCUAACCUUGCAAGUGAUUUUAGUUCGGUUCUGAUCUGCGGUUUUGGGUUGACUUUCAUUUUGUUGUUGUUAACUUAAUGCAUUUUACAAUUUGCGUGACAAAGUGAAAUAUCUUGAGUCUUAUAGCUAUAUAUAUGUAGGGUUGUUGAGUUUUAUGUUCAAGAUUUUGUGAUUUUAGGAUAGAGUAGCCAUAGGCGUACAGGCUACAGCCGCUACCACUGUAUGUAACACAAACUAAUUAAAGAAGCACUGAUAUGGGAUCUGGAAGCGAAAAACGCCAGUGUAGUUUAUUACUCUUGGUAAUCGAAAUUUUAACCUUAGACUGAGAUGAGGUUAGUUUGGUUCUUCAAGCCCAUUGCUUAUCUUCUAGCACCAAUAUAGGAUUUUGAAGUGCCAUUGUAGUCAAGGAUUUGGGGGGUUUUAAGAACCAACUGCUUACGACAUGAGUCAAAAGGCAUAGAAGUGCUAUAUUUGAUCCUUUAACCCAGAGAGCCUGAAUAUGUGAUAUAUUUUGCUAGGAAAGUGCCUGGCCUUGGUUGGGCAGAAUUUUCUAUAGCCUUCACUCUUGAGAUUCUAUUACUUGAUAAUUUUUUCAAGUUGGGUGACCCUGAUAAUGAGUCUUACAUGGCGUAGUAUGUGAAACAUGUUACUAUUAUUAACCGUCUUCUCCAGAUCCUUCAUUACUUGGAACGUUGUACCCGGCUUAGCUGCUUGAACGAACGGCUUUUAGAGCUUUCAGAGCAUCAAAUGAAGACAGAAAUUAGGUCAACUUAAUUUAACCAUGGCGUCAUCCUUGAAACCAAUGCGACAUGCGUCUUUCUCUCUUAAUACAGUUAGUAAUUUCUGCUAGCUUUUAAUAGUUAUGUAGCAUCUAAUUAAUUGUAUUGCAGGGAACCCACCAUCCUAAUUAGGAAGACAGUGUGUUAUUAUUAACCUGAGGAAGCUCUAUGUUGUCUUUGAAAAUGUAAAGAAGCUCCUACUCAGUGCAGCUUCUUCACAUCGUAAGUUGUCUAUUGCACCAUGCCCCUCAAAAGCAGAAAAAAAAAAAACUUUCUUAGUGACUACUUCAACUGUUAUCUUCCCAACGUGGGGACAAUGUAGGUGGUGACAAUCGCAAGUUAAUUUUUAUUGAUGACCUAUUUUGUUAAUUCUUAUAUAUUGUAUUGUAGGUUGAAAAUCUAACAAGUUAAACAGACAACAUAAUCAUAUUUGACCAUGUUAUGUGGUUUACUGAACUAGGUGUUGUAUCAUCAAUUUAAGUUAUUGAAGCAAAUGAUUGUGAAUUUCAGACCUUAUCUUCUUUCUCCUGGAAGCCGGUCUCAGGAACACCUUAGUUCAGUACUUGACAAACAAUCAAUAUCGGUAAUAGCGUCUGCCAUGCAUACUGUUGUUGCUGCUUUAUUUUACUUGCAAGGAUUUGACAUGAAGCAGCGGGAAAGUCGGAAUGAGAGGGAAGCUAAGCUUGGUACAGUGUUUUUUGUUUUGUUUUGUGAGGAAUGGUCUCAAUAGUCAUGUACCAAUUGUAAGGACGAUGAUUUUUCUAGAUGCCACAAAGCAAGUGGUAACAUUACGAUAUUAACAACCUUAUUAACUCAAGAGA